RNAcentral lists this ribosomal RNA (263 nucleotides) under uncultured bacterium. Its description in RNAcentral is "partial 16S ribosomal RNA". It matches the Rfam family "Bacterial small subunit ribosomal RNA", at positions 28 to 288 of the family's 1533-position model. The record is from RNAcentral.
GAUGAACGCUAGCGGCAGGCUUAAUACAUGCAAGUCGAGGGGCAGCAUAAGUAGCAAUACUUGAUGGCGACCGGCAAACGGGUGCGGAACACGUACGCAACCUUCCUUUAAGUGGGGAAUAGCCCGGGGAAACCCGGAUUAAUACCCCGUAAUAUUAUGAUGUGGCAUCACAUUAUAAUUAUAGAUUCAUCGCUUAAAGAUGGGCGUGCGCCUGAUUAGGUAGUUGGCGGAGUAAUAGCCCACCAAGCCUGCGAUCAGUAACU